RNAcentral lists this ribosomal RNA (1446 nucleotides) under uncultured organism. RNAcentral's name for it is "16S ribosomal RNA". It matches the Rfam family "Bacterial small subunit ribosomal RNA". The record is from RNAcentral.
CUCAUGAUGAACGCUAGCUACAGGCUUAACACAUGCAAGUCGAGGGGCAGCAUUUCAGUUUGCUUGCAAACUGGAGAUGGCGACCGGCGCACGGGUGAGUAACACGUAUCCAACCUGCCGAUAACUCGGGGAUAGCCUUUCGAAAGAAAGAUUAAUACCCGAUGGCAUAAUUAGACCGCAUGGUCUUAUUAUUAAAGAAUUUCGGUUAUCGAUGGGGAUGCGUUCCAUUAGGCAGUUGGUGAGGUAACGGCUCACCAAACCUUCGAUGGAUAGGGGUUCUGAGAGGAAGGUCCCCCACAUUGGAACUGAGACACGGUCCAAACUCCUACGGGUGGCAGCAGUGAGGAAUAUUGGUCAAUGGACGAGAGUCUGAACCAGCCAAGUAGCGUGAAGGAUGACUGCCCUAUGGGUUGUAAACUUCUUUUAUAUGGGAAUAAAGUUUUCCACGUGUGGAAUUUUGUAUGUACCAUAUGAAUAAGGAUCGGCUAACUCCGUGCCAGCAGCCGCGGUAAUACGGAGGAUCCGAGCGUUAUCCGGAUUUAUUGGGUUUAAAGGGAGCGUAGGUGGACAGUUAAGUCAGUUGUGAAAGUUUGCGGCUCAACCGCAAAAUUGCAGUUGAUACUGGCUGUCUUGAGUACAGUAGAGGUGGGCGGAAUUCGUGGUGUAGCGGUGAAAUGCUUAGAUAUCACGAAGAACUCCGAUUGCGAAGGCAGCUCACUGGACUGCAACUGACACUGAUGCUCGAAAGUGUGGGUAUCAAACAGGAUUAGAUACCCUGGUAGUCCACACAGUAAACGAUGAAUACUCGCUGUUUGCGAUAUACAGUAAGCGGCCAAGCGAAAGCAUUAAGUAUCCCACCUGGGGAGUACGCCGGCAACGGUGAAACUCAAAGGAAUUGACGGGGGCCCGCACAAGCGGAGGAACAUGUGGUUUAAUUCGAUGAUACGCGAGGAACCUUACCCGGGCUUAAAUUGCAUUUGAAUAAUCUGGAAACAGGUUAGCCGCAAGGCAAAUGUGAAGGUGCUGCAUGGUUGUCGUCAGCUCGUGCCGUGAGGUGUCGGCUUAAGUGCCAUAACGAGCGCAACCCUUAUCUUUAGUUACUAACAGGUCAUGCUGAGGACUCUAGAGAGACUGCCGUCGUAAGAUGUGAGGAAGGUGGGGAUGACGUCAAAUCAGCACGGCCCUUACGUCCGGGGCUACACACGUGUUACAAUGGGGGGUACAGAAGGCAGCUACCUGGUGACAGGAUGCUAAUCCCAAAAGCCUCUCUCAGUUCGGAUCGAAGUCUGCAACCCGACUUCGUGAAGCUGGAUUCGCUAGUAAUCGCGCAUCAGCCAUGGCGCGGUGAAUACGUUCCCGGGCCUUGUACACACCGCCCGUCAAGCCAUGAAAGCCGGGGGUACAUGAAGUACGUAACCGCAAGGAGCGUCCUAGGGUAAAACUGGU